UACGGAGGGUGCAAGCGUUAUCCGGAUUUACUGGGUUUAAAGGGUGUGUAGGCGGACUUUUAAGUCCGUGGUGAAAUCUCCGGGCUCAACCUGGAAACUGCCAUUGAUACUAUUAGUCUUGAAUUUUGUUGAGGUAGGCGGAAUAAGUCAUGUAGCGGUGAAAUGCAUAGAUAUGACUUAGAACACCAAUUGCGAAGGCAGCUUGCUAAACAAAUAUUGACGCUGAGGCACGAAAGCGUGGGGAUCAAACAGG
RNAcentral lists this ribosomal RNA (253 nucleotides) under uncultured bacterium. RNAcentral describes it as "partial 16S ribosomal RNA". It matches the Rfam family "Bacterial small subunit ribosomal RNA", at positions 524 to 776 of the family's 1533-position model. The record is from RNAcentral.